Molecule: ribosomal RNA, 508 nt
Filed under: uncultured bacterium
Lineage: Bacteria
Description: partial 16S ribosomal RNA
Rfam family: Bacterial small subunit ribosomal RNA
Source: RNAcentral
GACGAACGCUGGCGGCGUGCCUAAUACAUGCAAGUCGAACGCUUCUUUCCUCCCGAGUGCUUGCACUCAAUUGGAAAGAGGAGUGGCGGACGGGUGAGUAACACGUGGGUAACCUACCCAUCAGAGGGGGAUAACACUUGGAAACAGGUGCUAAUACCGCAUAACAGUUUAUGCCGCAUGGCAUAAGAGUGAAAGGCGCUUUCGGGUGUCGUUGAUGGAUGGACCCGCGGUGCAUUAGCUAGUUGGUGAGGUAACGGCUCACCAAGGCCACGAUGCAUAGCCGACCUGAGAGGGUGAUCGGCCACACUGGGACUGAGACACGGCCCAGACUCCUACGGGAGGCAGCAGUAGGGAGUCUUCGGCAAUGGACGAAAGUCUGACCGAGCAACGCCGCGUGAGUGAAGAAGGUUUUCGGAUCGUAAAACUCUGUUGUUAGAGAAGAACAAGGACGUUAGUAACUGAACGUCCCCUGACGGUAUCUAACCAGAAAGCCACGGCUAACUACGUG